This 1312-nucleotide long non-coding RNA is filed under the name Heterocephalus glaber (naked mole-rat). Its description in RNAcentral is "lncRNA (ENSHGLG00000041909.1)". The record is from RNAcentral. Lineage: Eukaryota; Metazoa; Chordata; Mammalia; Rodentia; Bathyergidae.
UUUCUUGAAAAAGGAUUUUGGUACAACAUUAAUCUUUCUGAGUUGAUGAGGUACAUUGGUUCAUGAAAGCAUCUGUUUGCAAACUAUUUGGUUCAUAAACAAAAGCUCUUGGAAAAUUUUGCUUCAGUUCACAAGCUCUGUAUUAUGUAACAAAUAUGACCAUGGCCACCUUUCCUGCAAAAAUACAAAUGCAGUCAUCUUCCCACAAACCGUAAUCAAAUUAAGCUGUAAACUGAUAUACCAGUGUACUCAGACCCAGCUCUGGAUUCCAAGAAAAUCUUCCAUCUUCAGACAGAAUGAAUUACCAGCCAUCGUUUAGACACAGUGGUCCUUGGUAGCCCACAAUGCACCAAUCUGACUGUUCUUUAGUCUUCAAUGCAGUAACAUAAGCGCUUGUGGCAGCACUCCAAAACCACUGCUUGCAGUUGAAAAUGUUUUAUGUGGGUCUCUAUAAUGUCACUCAGGUGCAGUGUGUAACUCUUUCCAAACAACUUAAUAAAGGAGGCACUACUAUUUUUCAAGUCAUCAAACAUUUUAGAGGAAGUCUGCAGUGCCCUGUGGAAGAUCCUGACCCUGAAACUAUAUUCAGUACCACGUUGUUUGUUUCACAUCUAACUUCUUGACUUUGGGGAACUACACCCAGGAGAACUGACAUUUGUCGCAACAAAGCCACACACAAAAUAAUGAGGGGAAAUUUUUCUUUUUUACUUGAAAUGUAAUUUCUUCUAAAUCAAUAGUGUGCCGAUAUUCAUGUCUUAAGGAAACAACUAAAUACAGACAACUCACCUGUACAUGGAGGUCAUACUUUUGAAAAACUAUGGGGAAAAUAAAGCAACAAAAACAUAGCCAUAUCCAUUCCUGUAACCUCAGCAUAACAGAGUAGAAUAAUGACAAACAAUGGCUAAUACCAUCUUUUUCUUUUCCUUUAUAUUUUAAAGAUUGUUUAUGUAUGUAAGCCAAAACUAAAAGGGUAAAGACAGAUAAAACCCAGAUGGAUGGAGGAACUUUUGUGUAGUAAUUCUGUGUUUUAAAUGAAUUUUAAAAUUAUUAUGUGGAAUUCUAAAUUCCAAUCUCUGAGUUUUGUUUAUAAUGAUACACUGGUUUUAAUUAAGGAUUUUGAGUAUAUGGAACUAACUUCUUUUCAUCUUCCAAUGUGUGGCUUCCAUACAACUAAAGCCAUACCUUUCAUAAUAUCUGAACAUGAUUUUAGAUUCAGUAACCUAGUCGGUGGCUGAUUCAACAGAUGGAUGGGGGUUGAAUUACAUAAAGAGAUUUAAAAAUAGAAGUGAUCUUAAUUAUGGAUGCCAUGUCA